RNAcentral lists this long non-coding RNA (1884 nucleotides) under Gossypium barbadense (sea-island cotton). Its description in RNAcentral is "long non-coding RNA (GBAR_LNC006752)". Lineage: Eukaryota; Viridiplantae; Streptophyta; Magnoliopsida; Malvales; Malvaceae. The record is from RNAcentral.
CAUCUGCACCAAACAACUCUUUAGCAUCAAAUCGUUUUAGGAAUCCUAUUUAGUUCAUACAGUUAUCUUUAACAGGUGACAUUUAUUAGAUUCGAAAUUCAAAUUCGAAUAAAAACCCUAUUUGGUUCAAAUAUAUCCUUUAAUUCAAACAAACUUUUUUGUCCUUCAUUUUCUUGAGAAAAAAAUAGUGCAUAAUUUCAGAACACUAUCAAGACAGAACUGGAUUCUUAAUUUAAAUCUAGAAACUUGAAAUAUAUAUUAAAAAAAAAAAGGGAAAAUGUUUGGAACUCUUAAGUCAAAUGCUACCUUUUGGUAGAUAGAUAGAUACGCAUUAAAUAAGUAACAUCAGACAUUUUCUGUAUAUAUAUUCAUAUUCGAACAUGUGUUGGACACGAAUAUUUAAAAAAAAAGAACCCGAAAAAUUUCGGAUAACAAUUAUAAUCUAUACGUAUAUAUAUUGAAUGAAGAGGGGCCAACCAUGUCUUAAAAGCAUCCAAAAUAUAAGGUUUGUGUCUAUUUCAACCAAGAAAAAGAAUGCUUCUUUUUUCUUCCUAAAAGAACACUUAAACAUGUGUCCAAUUGGAAAAAGGUUGUGCUUAAAAUGGAAACCUUUUAUUGUCAAUCUGUUUUCACUAGCUGUAUAUCUUUUAUAUUUAUUUGACACACUAAUCAUUAUACAUAUCAUUACAAAAAUUCUUUCUUCUAUAUUUAUUUUAAUUAAUAUUAGUAUGAAAUAAUAAUAAAGUAAAUUAAAUCAUAAAAAUUUUUAUAAUCAAAUGAAAAAAAAAAUUAUACUCUUAAGGAAGAGUAACAAAAUAAAAAGAGAGGGGGGAUAAUUAGAAAUUAAAAAAUAAUAUUGGAAGAGAUCAUUGAAGAGCACUUUAUGCUUAAUUUGGAGAUCUUUCAUGUAAAAUCUAUGAAGGGUAGGUCCAAUUUUUAUGAAACAUAAACAAGAAAGGUAAGAAAAAUAAAAUGAAAUCCAAUUCAAUGUAGUACAAUUUCCACAUGGAUGGGGAUUAAAACCUUCAUAAAUUUAUAUAUAAAGAAACAUUAAAUUAUCAAGUAAAUUUGGUAGCCAUGAAAAAUUCAAGAAAUAAAAUGAAACAAAAUUGAUGUCCACAAAUAUUGAUGAUAAGAGAAUCCCAUGUGUUUGUAAAUCAAUUUGGUGGCUUAAAAUGAUUGAAACCCCACAUUUUGAAAUCCUCAAGAAAAAAAAAGUGCAAAGGUUGGGGGAAGUUUGGAUUUGAUGAACAAGUAUAUAGGCCUUGUAGAAGUGCAUUCUUUUGGUCCACUUGAAUUCAGAACUAUGAAGUCAUCAUAAUACCUAAUGAAGAGUGAAGAAUAUCAAAGGGUAAUCAAAGUUUUAUAUGAUAUAAUAUAAAUAAAUAGUUAUAUUAUCAUAAAUAAUUUGUUUUUCCUUUGAGAAUAAUUAUGUAUAUUUAUCAUAGUAUGAAGAAUAUUAACCUGUUUCCCCACUUAGCAUGCAGUUCCAUGAUCAAGAAUUGUUCCUCCGGUGUGAUAUUGCCUCUCCGAACGUCCGGUCGAAGAUAGUUUAACCAUCGGAGCCGGCAACUCUUCCCGGUACGUUUCAACCCUAGAAGAAGUUUAUCAUUAGGGUUACCAUAUAUCAAUAUCAAAGCAUUACUACUAUAUAUUGAAUGAAAAUUUUAAAAUAAAAAAAAUCUCUUUCAUAGAUUACUUAAUUAUAUGAUCAAAAAAUAUUGUUUAUUCAUAAUUUUUUUGAAAACUCAAAAUAUAUGUAUAGAAUGAGGAAUUACCUGCAGCUCUAGCAAGAGAAUUCCAAACACCUUCACCAUGGUUGGCAAUAUAGUUGAUGAGAAUCAAAUCCUCUUCCAUAGUCCAUGGACCUUUUCUCACUUCAAC